UACCUCACCACAAGACAAGCAACC
Molecule: non-coding RNA, 24 nt
Filed under: Arabidopsis thaliana (thale cress)
Lineage: Eukaryota; Viridiplantae; Streptophyta; Magnoliopsida; Brassicales; Brassicaceae
Source: RNAcentral